GGUCAGCAUACUACGGUGAAUACGUUCCCGGGCCUUGUACACACCGCCCGUCAAACCAUGAGAGUUGGCAACACCCGAAGUCGGUAGUCUAACCGCAAGGAGGACGCCGCCGAAGGUGGGGGUUGAUGAUUAGGGUUAAGUCGUAACAAGGUACC
Molecule: ribosomal RNA, 155 nt
Filed under: uncultured bacterium
Lineage: Bacteria
Description: partial 16S ribosomal RNA
Rfam family: Bacterial small subunit ribosomal RNA
Source: RNAcentral